GCCUCGGUAGCGUAGUGGUCAAGACGCUCGCCUGGUAAACAGGAGGGCGUGGGUUCGAACCCAGCCGAGGCA
This 72-nucleotide transfer RNA is filed under the name Diaphorina citri (Asian citrus psyllid). It matches the Rfam family "tRNA". From Rfam's summary of the family: Transfer RNA (tRNA) molecules are approximately 80 nucleotides in length. Their secondary structure includes four short double-helical elements and three loops (D, anti-codon, and T loops). Further hydrogen bonds mediate the characteristic L-shaped molecular structure. tRNAs have two regions of fundamental functional importance: the anti-codon, which is responsible for specific mRNA codon recognition, and the 3' end, to which the tRNAs corresponding amino acid is attached (by aminoacyl-tRNA synthetases). tRNAs cope with the degeneracy of the genetic code in two manners: having more than one tRNA (with a specific anti-codon) for a particular amino acid; and 'wobble' base-pairing, i.e. permitting non-standard base-pairing at the 3rd anti-codon position. Lineage: Eukaryota; Metazoa; Arthropoda; Insecta; Hemiptera; Psyllidae. The record is from Rfam by way of RNAcentral.